RNAcentral lists this ribosomal RNA (575 nucleotides) under uncultured bacterium. RNAcentral's name for it is "partial 16S ribosomal RNA". It matches the Rfam family "Bacterial small subunit ribosomal RNA", at positions 355 to 923 of the family's 1533-position model. The record is from RNAcentral.
UGGGGAAUUUUGGACAAUGGGCGAAAGCCUGAUCCAGCAAUGCCGCGUGUGUGAAGAAGGCCUUCGGGUUGUAAAGCACUUUUGUCCGGAAAGAAAUCCUUGGCUCUAAUACAGUCGGGGGAUGACGGUACCGGAAGAAUAAGCACCGGCUAACUACGUGCCAGCAGCCGCGGUAAUACGUAGGGUGCAAGCGUUAAUCGGAAUUACUGGGCGUAAAGCGUGCGCAGGCGGUUUGCUAAGACCGAUGUGAAAUCCCCGGGCUCAACCUGGGAACUGCAUUGGUGACUGGCAGGCUAGAGUAUGGCAGAGGGGGGUAGAAUUCCACGUGUAGCAGUGAAAUGCGUAGAGAUGUGGAGGAAUACCGAUGGCGAAGGCAGCCCCCUGGGCCAAUACUGACGCUCAUGCACGAAAGCGUGGGGAGCAAACAGGAUUAGAUACCCUGGUAGUCCACGCCCUAAACGAUGUCAACUAGUUGUUGGGGAUUCAUUUCCUUAGUAACGUAGCUAACGCGUGAAGUUGACCGCCUGGGGAGUACGGUCGCAAGAUUAAAACUUAAAUGAAUUAACGGGGUCAUA